This 834-nucleotide ribosomal RNA is filed under the name Triticum aestivum (bread wheat). Its description in RNAcentral is "partial small subunit ribosomal RNA". The record is from RNAcentral. Lineage: Eukaryota; Viridiplantae; Streptophyta; Magnoliopsida; Poales; Poaceae.
AUGGGGAAGGAGAGCGUCCACGGCGAGGAGGAGGCGACGGGGAUCCACGUCCAUUGCAAAUACAAGUUGUCCAAGAAAGGUAAUAACCUGGAAGAUGAUUGGCCUCCAGACCCUUUUGACGGAGGCGCACACGACACUAGAUUGAAAGCGAAUGACCUCCUGAACAUUCCUGAGGCAGAUUGUACUCCGAUGUUUAUUAAGGAGCAGGGUUAUUUCAAGCGCUUCGAGACGGACGGCACUCUUGAUUGGUCGUUCCCCAGUGAUUACAUCAAUUGUGCUCUUCUGAAUGACUACCAGCGCCUAGUCCCUCGAAAUUAUGGUGGUACUGAGUACAUCAAUUGGAGUGAGUACCAUGAGUACUUGCAUAGCUAUGAGACUGAACAGGAAUACGUCGAGUACUGUGAGGAAUUAGCCAAGCAACUGAAGUGGAUGGAAGAUUAUCUACAUUUUGACCGGCCAUCUUUCAAGGAAUGUAUAGAGAGCAUGGGCUAUGACCUUGCUUGGCUUAAGGAGUUAGAUGGUGUCUAUUUUGAGAUUUGGCGGCGGGUCACUCAGGGAAUGAGUUUCAAAGAUGCUCUGGCAGAGGUUUGUCAUCUGAACAGGUUUCCGUCACGUCAACAUAAAAUGGAACAUGCCCUGGAGUUUGAUGAAGCGAUGGAGGAGAUGGAAGAAGAGGUUAAGGAGGAUAAAGCUCGGGAGUUGAUUGCAGGGGCGGUUAAAGAGCUGCUUGAUGAUACGCCGAAGACCUAUGAGCAGUAUAUCAUAAAGAAGAUGCACAUUGCCCGAGUUGUUGGAAUCCUUCCUGAGAAGAGGAUUGAAGAUUCUCAAGAAUGA